UACGUAGGGGGCAAGCGUUGUCCGGAAUUAUUGGGCGUAAAGCGCGCGCAGGCGGCUUCUUAAGUCUGAUGUGAAAGCCCACGGCUCAACCGUGGAGGGUCAUUGGAAACUGGGGAGCUUGAGUGCAGAAGAGGAGAGUGGAAUUCCACGUGUAGCGGUGGAAUGCGUAGAGAUCCGGAGGAAGACCGGUGGCGAAGGCGGGUCUCUGGACAGUUCCUGACGCUGAGGCACGAAGGUCAGGGGAGCAAACGGG
RNAcentral lists this ribosomal RNA (253 nucleotides) under uncultured bacterium. Its description in RNAcentral is "partial 16S ribosomal RNA". It matches the Rfam family "Bacterial small subunit ribosomal RNA", at positions 524 to 776 of the family's 1533-position model. The record is from RNAcentral.